RNAcentral lists this ribosomal RNA (468 nucleotides) under uncultured bacterium. RNAcentral's name for it is "partial 16S ribosomal RNA". It matches the Rfam family "Bacterial small subunit ribosomal RNA", at positions 28 to 507 of the family's 1533-position model. The record is from RNAcentral.
GACGAACGCUGGCGGCGUGCUUAACACAUGCAAGUCGAACGGAAAGGCCCUGCUUUUGUGGGGUGCUCGAGUGGCGAACGGGUGAGUAACACGUGAGUAACCUGCCCUUGACUUUGGGAUAACUUCAGGAAACUGGGGCUAAUACCGGAUAGGAGCUCCUGCUGCAUGGUGGGGGUUGGAAAGUUUCGGCGGUUGGGGAUGGACUCGCGGCUUAUCAGCUUGUUGGUGGGGUAGUGGCUUACCAAGGCUUUGACGGGUAGCCGGCCUGAGAGGGUGACCGGCCACAUUGGGACUGAGAUACGGCCCAGACUCAUACGGGAGGCAGCAGUGGGGAAUAUUGCACAAUGGGCGGAAGCCUGAUGCAGCAACGCCGCGUGCGGGAUGACGGCCUUCGGGUUGUAAACCGCUUUCGCCUGUGACGAAGCGUGAGUGACGGUAAUGGGUAGAGAAGCACCGGCUAACUACGUG